CCUUACGGCCAUACCACCAUAGGUACGCCCGAUCUCGUCUGAUCUCGGAAGCUAAGCAGGGUCGGGCCUGGUUAGUACUUGGAUGGGUGACCGCCUGGGAAUACCAGGUGCUGUAAGCA
Molecule: ribosomal RNA, 119 nt
Organism: Gadus morhua (Atlantic cod)
Lineage: Eukaryota; Metazoa; Chordata; Actinopteri; Gadiformes; Gadidae
Source: Ensembl